UUCAGACAAUGGCAAACCUAUUGUAAAAUAGGGACGCAAAGUUACAGGUCCGGUAUGCUGAUAUUUUGCCGGAUGGCUGAACUGCCUGG
RNAcentral lists this non-coding RNA (89 nucleotides) under Gracilibacillus ureilyticus. Its description in RNAcentral is "GEMM cis-regulatory element". It matches the Rfam family "c-di-GMP-I-GGC riboswitch aptamer". Lineage: Bacteria; Bacillati; Bacillota; Bacilli; Caryophanales; Bacillaceae. The record is from RNAcentral.